AUGAUGAUGAAGAGUGUCGUGGUGGAAAGAUGUGUGGGGUGGGAUGGUUUUAUAGAAAGGAUAUUGGAAGGUAGCUCAACAUCACGUGUUUCACUCAAACCUAAACAUUAUGAGAAGGUGAAUUUUUAUCUAUUAAACUCAACAACCAAUCAAGUGGGUACGUACCGAUACAACGAUGGGAGCCUAAGUCUGUUAACUCUCAACUUAAUGACUUUGUCUUAA
Molecule: non-coding RNA, 222 nt
Organism: Vicia faba (fava bean)
Lineage: Eukaryota; Viridiplantae; Streptophyta; Magnoliopsida; Fabales; Fabaceae
Source: the annotation of a GenBank genome assembly